Molecule: RNA transcript, 4562 nt
Organism: Glycine soja
Lineage: Eukaryota; Viridiplantae; Streptophyta; Magnoliopsida; Fabales; Fabaceae
Gene name: probable LRR receptor-like serine/threonine-protein kinase At4g36180
Exons: 1
Source: RefSeq, a predicted model, not a curated record
AUGCAGUAACGAAAAAGACAGAGAGAGUAGAGAAGAGAAAACUGCGUUUUAAACGGAGACUUGCUCUGCCGAAUCUGGAAAAUACGCACACAACAGCCUCUGUGUGUGCAGUGUGCUAAUGUACGCGGCACAUGCAUUUCACUAACCUCAACUCCCAAUUAUAACCUUCUCUUUAUUCAUUACUUCUGCAACAACGACGGUAACCAUUAACCAUGCCUGCUCUUUUUCUCCUCCUCAUGGUGCUGUGCGCACCGCUCUUAACGUGCGCCGAUCGCAGCGCCGUAACCGUCGCUGAGAUCCAAGCCUUGACAUCCUUCAAGCUCAACCUCCACGAUCCCGCCGGAGCUCUCGACAGUUGGGAUCCCUCGUCUCCGGCGGCGCCCUGCGACUGGCGCGGAGUCGGCUGCACCAACGACCGAGUCACGGAGCUGCGUCUGCCUUGUCUUCAACUCGGUGGCAGACUCAGUGAGCGUAUCUCUGAGUUGCGCAUGCUGCGUAAGAUAAACCUUCGUUCAAACUCCUUCAACGGAACCAUUCCUUCGUCGCUGUCCAAAUGCACGCUCCUACGGUCAGUGUUCUUGCAGGAUAAUUUGUUUUCCGGCAACCUUCCACCGGAGAUCGCGAACCUCACCGGCCUUCAGAUUCUCAACGUCGCGCAGAACCAUAUCUCUGGCAGCGUCCCCGGCGAACUCCCUAUCAGUCUCAAAACCCUCGACCUCUCGUCGAACGCUUUCUCCGGCGAGAUUCCGAGCUCCAUUGCGAACCUCUCUCAGCUUCAGUUGAUAAAUCUUUCCUACAAUCAGUUUUCCGGCGAGAUUCCGGCGAGCCUCGGGGAGCUUCAGCAGCUGCAGUACCUCUGGCUGGACCACAACCUCCUCGGAGGAACGCUUCCUUCGGCGCUCGCCAACUGCUCUGCGCUUUUGCAUCUGAGCGUGGAGGGAAACGCGCUUACCGGCGUCGUUCCGUCGGCGAUUUCGGCACUUCCGAGGCUUCAGGUGAUGUCGCUCUCUCAGAACAAUCUCACUGGCUCCAUUCCGGGUUCCGUUUUCUGCAACGGUUCCGUCCACGCGCCGUCGCUGCGGAUUGUUCAUCUCGGAUUCAACGGUUUCACGGAUUUCGUGGGGCCUGAGACCAGCAGCACGUGUUUCAGCGUUCUUCAGGUUUUGGAUAUUCAGCACAAUCGCAUACGAGGCACGUUUCCGUUGUGGUUGACCAACGUGACCACGUUGACCGUGCUUGAUGUUUCCAGCAAUGCACUUUCCGGCGAGGUUCCGCCGGAAAUCGGAAGCCUUAUCAAGUUGGAGGAGUUGAAGAUGGCUAAGAAUUCCUUCACCGGCACCAUUCCGGUGGAACUCAAAAAAUGUGGGUCCCUAAGUGUCGUUGAUUUUGAAGGCAACGGGUUUGGCGGAGAAGUUCCUUCGUUUUUCGGUGAUAUGAUUGGCCUCAAGGUGUUGUCUCUUGGUGGGAACCAUUUCUCUGGUUCGGUUCCGGUGAGUUUUGGUAACCUUUCAUUUCUUGAAACAUUGAGUUUGAGAGGUAAUAGGUUGAAUGGAAGUAUGCCUGAGACGAUAAUGAGAUUGAAUAAUUUGACGAUACUGGACCUUAGUGGAAACAAAUUUACUGGUCAAGUUUAUACGAGUAUUGGGAAUUUGAAUAGGUUAAUGGUGCUCAAUCUCAGUGGCAAUGGCUUCUCUGGAAACAUCCCUGCUAGUUUGGGGAGUCUUUUCAGGCUAACUACACUUGACUUGAGCAAACAGAAUCUUUCUGGAGAGUUACCACUUGAACUCUCGGGGUUGCCCAGUCUGCAAGUUGUUGCACUUCAGGAGAACAAGUUAUCUGGUGAGGUGCCUGAAGGGUUUAGCAGUUUGAUGAGUUUGCAGUAUGUGAAUCUCAGUUCUAAUGCCUUCUCUGGGCAUAUUCCUGAAAACUAUGGCUUUCUUCGUUCCUUGCUUGUUCUUUCGUUAUCUGAUAAUCACAUUACAGGAACAAUCCCUUCGGAGAUUGGAAACUGCUCUGGUAUUGAAAUGCUUGAGCUUGGGUCAAAUUCUUUGGCAGGUCACAUUCCUGCUGAUCUCUCUCGCCUCACCCUUUUGAAAUUGCUUGAUUUGAGUGGGAACAAUUUAACUGGGGAUGUUCCUGAGGAAAUCUCCAAAUGCUCGUCAUUAACCACUUUGUUUGUGGAUCACAACCAUCUUUCAGGGGCCAUACCUGGGUCAUUGUCGGAUCUAUCAAACCUAACAAUGUUGGAUCUCUCUGCUAAUAACUUGAGUGGGGUAAUUCCGAGUAACCUUUCCAUGAUAUCUGGUUUGGUGUACUUCAAUGUCUCAGGAAAUAACCUGGAUGGUGAGAUACCACCAACGUUGGGAUCCUGGUUCAGCAACCCCUCUGUAUUCGCAAAUAAUCAGGGUUUAUGUGGGAAGCCAUUGGACAAAAAAUGUGAAGAUAUAAACGGUAAAAACAGAAAGAGGUUGAUUGUGCUGGUGGUUGUCAUUGCUUGUGGAGCUUUUGCUCUAGUUUUAUUUUGCUGCUUCUACGUUUUCAGUCUGUUGAGAUGGCGUAAAAGACUGAAACAAGGAGUAUCGGGUGAAAAGAAAAAGAGUCCCGCUAGAGCCAGUUCUGGAACAAGUGCAGCUCGUAGCAGCAGUACUCAGAGUGGGGGACCAAAACUAGUGAUGUUCAACACCAAAAUUACACUUGCUGAGACCAUUGAAGCAACAAGACAAUUCGACGAAGAGAACGUGCUGAGCAGAACAAGGCAUGGAUUAGUGUUCAAGGCCUGCUACAACGAUGGAAUGGUCCUUUCCAUUCGCAGGCUGCAAGAUGGAUCAUUGGAUGAGAACAUGUUUAGAAAAGAAGCCGAGUCACUUGGCAAAGUCAAGAACCGAAAUUUAACAGUUCUCAGAGGUUACUAUGCAGGGCCACCUGACAUGAGACUCCUAGUCUACGAUUACAUGCCCAAUGGAAACCUUGCAACCCUCCUCCAAGAAGCUUCUCACCAAGAUGGCCACGUUCUAAAUUGGCCAAUGCGUCACCUCAUUGCCCUAGGAAUUGCCCGUGGCUUAGCCUUCCUACACCAAUCCUCAAUUGUCCAUGGCGACGUGAAGCCACAAAACGUCCUAUUCGAUGCAGAUUUUGAAGCCCACUUAUCAGAUUUUGGGUUAGACAAGUUAACAAGAGCCACUCCAGGCGAGGCCUCCACUUCAACAUCCGUUGGCACACUGGGUUACGUUUCUCCAGAAGCAGUCUUAACCGGGGAAGCCUCGAAGGAGAGUGAUGUCUACAGCUUUGGCAUUGUGUUGCUGGAACUACUGACAGGAAAACGACCUGUGAUGUUCACCCAAGACGAAGACAUAGUGAAGUGGGUAAAAAAACAACUUCAGAGGGGUCAAAUAACGGAGCUAUUAGAACCAGGUUUACUCGAGUUGGACCCAGAAUCAUCAGAGUGGGAAGAGUUUUUACUGGGUGUAAAAGUUGGGUUGCUUUGCACAGCACCUGACCUUCUUGAUCGACCAACCAUGUCCGACAUUGUUUUCAUGCUUGAAGGCUGCAGAGUUGGUCCUGAUAUCCCAUCCUCCGCAGAUCCCACCUCUCAACCUUCUCCGGCAUAAUAACCCAAAAACUGCAAACUUUUCUGAUCCAACUUUUCAUUUUUUUUGUUGUUUUAGUCAAAACCCUUUUAAGUUGAUUUAAGAAGUGUAACAUUGGUAGUUCGUGGUUGUUAACUUGUGUUUUUGUCUCCACCGGGAUUCUUUCCCACCAAAGAAAAAAAAAUAGAGAAAAGGGAACAUUUUUUCCAUUUUUGAGGGCCAUUUUUACGGUCUGUUUCAACCUGGUGACUGAGAUGGUAUGAAUGGAUUAUGAUAUAUAUCUCUCACUUUCUCGAGCUCUAAGUUAGUCAACGUCUUUGACAGAUGCAGAGUAGAUGCGAUACAGUGGGAUGAGUGAGGACAAGGGGGUGGGGCCCGCGAAGCGUUUCGCGCCAAAGCAACGCAACGGCAUCGUAUUGGUAUUGUUCCCGUCUGAGGAACGGACCUGCGUUUUCUGACAAAUCAUGUGGUCUUGGCGCAGGUUCCGGCAACGGAGUUGGAUGAUGUAGCCGUUAACAGUGUGGGGUCCGAGGUACACACUGUUCCCAAGGGUUUGUUAAUGCAGCUUGAAAAGACAUGUACUAGUAUUCAGUAAUCAGUAUUCUCCCUUGUUGCGCCACGUGGCUUUUUCUGCUAGAUUCGCGAGUUCUUUAUUUUUAGUGGAAAGAAAAUAGAGCAAAGGCGUGAGGGAUGGCGUUACGUUAUGAUUGGGCAUUUGGCCCACUUUUCAACAACUUUGUGGGUCAUGAUAUCAUAUCAAGCAUUUAUUUUUUGAAUUGGAUUCUGUCUGGUUACCAUAUUUCGCUUUUGGCACUUGGCAUGUAUUUGGGGAUUCAGGGGUGGACGAAAAUUAAUAAAUAUAGACCAUGUGUGAUGUGUCUCUGCAUUAUUUUUUUUUUGCCAUAGUUUUUUAAAAUCGCUUUUGCUAUUAAGGAACCUUCCUAUUCAUGAUCCGAUCAGGUUACGUGGGUGUAA